AGGACGAACGCUGGCGGCGUGCUUAACACAUGCAAGUCGAGCGAGGCCCUUCCUUCGGGAAGGUGCCCUAGCGGCGAACGGGUGAGUAACACGUGGGCAACCUGCCCCUAGCACUGGGAUAACUCCGGGAAACCGGGGCUAAUACCGGAUAUGACCUUUGAGGGCAUCCUCGAAGGUGUAAAGGAUUCUGGCUAGGGAUGGGCCCGCGGCCUAUCAGCUUGUUGGUGGGGUAACGGCCUACCAAGGCGACGACGGGUAGCCGGCCUGAGAGGGCGACCGGCCACACUGGGACUGAGACACGGCCCAGACUCCUACGGGAGGCAGCAGUGGGGAAUAUUGCACAAUGGGCGAAAGCCUGAUGCAGCGACGCCGCGUGAGGGAUGACGGCCUUCGGGUUGUAAACCUCUUUCAGCAGGGACGAAGCGAAAGUGACGGUACCUGCAGAAGAAGCACCGGCCAACUACGCGCCAGCAGCCGC
This 478-nucleotide ribosomal RNA is filed under the name uncultured bacterium. RNAcentral's name for it is "SSU rRNA". It matches the Rfam family "Bacterial small subunit ribosomal RNA", at positions 26 to 518 of the family's 1533-position model. The record is from RNAcentral.